This 521-nucleotide unclassified non-coding RNA is filed under the name Hevea brasiliensis (rubber tree). Lineage: Eukaryota; Viridiplantae; Streptophyta; Magnoliopsida; Malpighiales; Euphorbiaceae. The record is from RNAcentral.
AAGAAAAAUUCUUAGUUUUAUUAAUGAUAAGCACCCAAUUACAUUACAAUAAUCAUGCUCCUAAAUGAACAAAACCCAGAUAUACACUAUAAGAAAUUGAAUAAGGAAAAAAAAAGAAAGAAAAAGGCAAACCCAGCAACCAUAUAUAUGAAGCCAUUAAUCUCCAAUAUACAAGCCCUCAAGAAGAGAAUGGAAUAUCACAUCCCAACCCAAAAUUUUUUAUUUUUUAGUGUAAGAAAUUAAAGGGCAAAAAGAGAUACUAUCAUAGAACAACAUGUCAAAGCCACAGAAACCGGCAACGCCAACGCAGCUCCGGUAUCCAUUCCCGGUACCGGAGAAAUAUCCUGUGCCAUUACUCCACGAGUAUGCACUAAUAAUGCCGCCACAACCAGCAUCACCAUGUGAGCAAAUGAAGCUCCAAACUGUGCCAUGCUCUUACCUAAAUUUUUGGUGAUAUAAUUUUUAGAGAGAGGGAGAGAAGAAAAUGGCUAAUGACUAAUGGUCAAUAGUAUAUGUGUGAG